CCGAGUAUACAACUCAUAACCCUUUGUGAACCUUUAUACCUGUUGCUUCGGCGGCGCGCCUCCGGGCGUGCCCGCCGGUAUCAUCAGAAUCUCUGUUUGAACCCGACGAUACUUCUGAGUGUUCUAAGCGAACUGUUA
Molecule: unclassified non-coding RNA, 138 nt
Filed under: uncultured Acremonium
Lineage: Eukaryota; Fungi; Ascomycota
Description: sequence contains ITS1
Source: RNAcentral